UAGGGAAUAUUAGAAAUGGACGAAAGUCUGAUCUAGCAACACCGCGUGUGCGAAGAAGGCCUUCGGGUCGUAAAGCACUCUUUGGAAGGAAUAGGAAGGAAUGUACUUCCAGAAUAAGUCUCGGCUAACUACGUGCCAGCAGCCGCGGUAACACGUAGGAGGCGAACGUUAUCCGGAUUUACUGGGCGUAAAGCGCGUGUAGGUGGUUCUGUAAGUAGGGCGUGAAAGCUCCUGGCUCAACUGGGAGAGGCCGUUCUAAACUACAGAACUAGAGGAUGGUAGAGGGAGGUGGAAUGCCAGGUGUAGCGGUAGAAUGCGCAGAUAGCUGGAGGAACGCCAGUGGCGAAAGCGACCUCCUGGACCACUCCUGACACUCAGACGCGAAAGCUAGGGUAGCAAACG
RNAcentral lists this ribosomal RNA (402 nucleotides) under uncultured prokaryote. RNAcentral's name for it is "bacterial SSU rRNA". It matches the Rfam family "Bacterial small subunit ribosomal RNA", at positions 355 to 774 of the family's 1533-position model. The record is from RNAcentral.